UGAGGAAUAUUGCGCAAUGGGGGAAACCCUGACGCAGCAACGCCGCGUGAGUGAGGAAGGUUUUCGGACCGUAAAGCUCUGUCGAGCGGGAAGAAAUGCAUAGUGGCUAAUAUCCAUUAUGCUUGACGGUACCGCCAACGGAAGCACCGGCUAACUCCGUGCCAGCAGCCGCGGUAAUACGGGGGGUGCUAGCGUUGUUCGGAAUCAUUGGGCGUAAAGAGCGUGUAGGCGGCUGGAUAAGUCAGAUGUGAAAGCCCUGGGCUUAACAUAGGAAGUGCAUUUGAAACUGUUCAGCUGGAGUAAGGGAGAGGAAAGUGGAAUUCCUGGUGUAGAGGUGAAAUUCGUAGAUAUCAGGAGGAACACCGGUGGCGAAGGCGACUUUCUGGCCCUAUACUGACGCUGAGACGCGAGAGCGUGGGUAGCAAACA
Molecule: ribosomal RNA, 428 nt
Filed under: uncultured prokaryote
Description: bacterial SSU rRNA
Rfam family: Bacterial small subunit ribosomal RNA
Source: RNAcentral